GGCAAAUUUCCCUUCACAGAAAGUUUCCCUUUUCUGCUAACUCUACCUUCCAAGGAACUAAUACUUAGUCUGUUUGAGUUCACUAGAACUGAGCCACCAAAGUUGGUCAGAGGUUUACGAAAUACAGGUGAAGAUACAGUUGCCCUAUGGAACGAUGCAGACCCAUCGAGUACCGGUUGUUCAACGGUACCUCUAACCUGAAGCACAACUUCAGCAUUUCCCUGGAGCCAGUUUGCAUAUGGAGACAAAGCUGUCAACAACAUCAUGCCGGCGUCUUUAAUAUCAGCAUCGAUCCUGACUUCCCCGGCAUCAAGUAGGUUCCAGUUCAACCCUUUGAGGUUUUCAGCCAGCUGAGUGUCCCAACCCUCCUCACUUCUCUCUCUGGAGCUUCUUUUAUCACUAGCUUCAUCUACAGGUGCCUUGUUCUUCUCUGUGCCCCAACUACGAAUCCAG
Molecule: unclassified non-coding RNA, 453 nt
Filed under: Hevea brasiliensis (rubber tree)
Lineage: Eukaryota; Viridiplantae; Streptophyta; Magnoliopsida; Malpighiales; Euphorbiaceae
Source: RNAcentral